UGGAGUAGUAAUUGGAGGCACCGUCACCGGAGGGAGGUUAAUGGGUGGCUUCACAAUUGGAGGGAUCAAUGGGGGGAGGUUGAUUGGCGGCUUCACAACGGGAGGGAGUGUCACCGGAGGGACUGUGACUGGUGGCUUCACAAUUGGAGGAACAGUAACCGGUGGCAAGUUGAUUGGAGGUUUAACAAUGGGAGGGAUGGUAAUGGGACCCUUAGGGGACUUUCCCUUGGGCUUUCUGUGCUUCGGGGGUGGCUUGCCGCAGGUUCCACAGCCAAGAAUUGG
RNAcentral lists this long non-coding RNA (282 nucleotides) under Theobroma cacao (cacao). RNAcentral's name for it is "long non-coding RNA (TCAC_LNC005151)". The record is from RNAcentral. Lineage: Eukaryota; Viridiplantae; Streptophyta; Magnoliopsida; Malvales; Malvaceae.